Molecule: ribosomal RNA, 265 nt
Filed under: uncultured bacterium
Lineage: Bacteria
Description: partial 16S ribosomal RNA
Rfam family: Bacterial small subunit ribosomal RNA
Source: RNAcentral
AGUGGCGAACGGGUGAGUAACACGUGGGCAACCUGCCCAAAAGAGGGGGAUAACACUUGGAAACAGGUGCUAAUACCGCAUAACCAUAGUUACCGCAUGGUAACUAUGUAAAGGUGGCUAUACUACCGCUUUUGGAUGGGCCCGCGGCGCAUUAGCUAGUUGGUAGGGUAAAGGCUUACCAAGGCAAUGAUGCGUAGCCGAAUUGAGAGGUUGAUCGGCCACAUUGGGACUGAGACACGGCCCAAACUCCUACGGAAGGCAGCAG